AUGGACGUAAGUGCCAACUUUGCUGGAUCGGAUGCGGCGAUAGCUGCGUGUGCGCGGCCAUGGAGAAGCAGUCUUUGUACGGCGCCUCCGAGAGAGGCCAGCUGUGGUCGAAAGAGCAGUUCAGAAAUUCUGAGAAUAGGCGAAGUGGAGCCUAAAGGCCAUGACACAAGGUGGACAGAUGUGGUCGUGCCAGAAGAGCCAGAUGCACUGCGAGUUACAUUCAUACCAGGUGUGACGAGCAGGGCGGGUGGUGCACCGGAAAUCCAAGGCGUGCCAGGACACGCAUCGGGAGACGCGUACAAUGGCAUGUACGACGUGAGCCUAGACACUCCGGACACUAGGCACGCUGCAUCAGGCGAGCGAGGGGUAUCAUCCAGUUCAUGCAUGGAGCUGGCUGAUGGAAGUGCCGAAGUAUGUACGACCACAUGCCGCAGCAGCAACGGCUCACGCACUGCACGGCCUUGUGAUGCUUUGCAUGCGCUAGAAGAAGCGAGUGCACCACGACGUGGUGGCCUAACAUAUGGAGACGUAGAACAACGCCCAUAUCAUGGGGAAGAAAUCGACAGUUUAUCUACGUCCAUGCACAUGCAAGAAAUAAGCAGCGGCUUGUGUACUGCAGGUUAUUUAGGGAGCAGUUUGGAAGGGCCCAAAUCGCCGGAAGCAGGAGCUGUGGAAAGUUCAGAAUCAAGAGUGUCUUCUACGGUAGCACGAGAACGACAUGUGUUGGACAUCUCUUUAGAGGAAGCGCUUCAAAUUAAUUCGGUGAAGAUGAAAAGUAAAGGGCAACGAUGUUUGCACAUCGAGGAACCGGAAAAUUUUGAAGACGCAAUUAUGGAAGAGUGUUGGCGUCGUGCUAAGGAUGAAGAGAUGGGUUUGAUCCAAGACAAUAAAGUAUGGGAGCUUGUGGAUCUUCCCAACAGACAUAAUGCCAAAGAGCUCAAGUGGGAGUUUACGGUCAAGAAAGAUGUUGAAGGGUGCUUGAAGCACAAAGCGAGGCUUGUGGCCAAAGGGUACGUGCAAGAGAAAGGUGUGGACUUUGAAGAAGUGUUUGUUCCCAUUGCAAAGAUGGAGUCGGUGAGAUUACUCAUCGCUCUCGCGGCUCAGGAAUCAUGGAAAGUACAUCACAUGGAUGUAAACUCCAAGUUUUUGAAUGGCGAGAUAGAAGGAGAUGUGUAUGUGAAUCAACCACCGGGUUUCAUCAAAGAGGGAGAAGAACACAAGGUAGUGAAGUUACACAAAAUCUUGGAUGGGCUAUGGCAAGGACCUCGGGAGUGGAACAUCAAAGUUGAUCGGACGUUGAUUUCUCUUGGAUUUGAGAAAGCCCCACUAGAGCAUGAAAUGUACAAGAGAGGUGAAGGAAGGGAUCGUCUACUAGUUGGCAUUUACGUCGACGACUUAUUAAUUACUGGAGCAGAUGAAGAGGUGAUUGCAAAGUUUAAGCUACAGAUGAAAGAGCUUUUCAAGAUGGAUGAUCUCGGUCUUUUGAGCUACUACCCCAGGAUAGAGGUACAUCAAAAACCGGAGGGAGUCACACUAUGCCAGGAGGCAUACGUAAGGAAGAUACUUGAAAGCCGUGGCAUGAAAUAUUGCAAUCCAAUUGACGCUCCAAUGGAACCUCGUCUUGAGCUGAGCAAGAAGAGCAAAGUAUCCACAGUUGAUGCAAUAGAGUAUAUUGCAGCUACCACUGCGGUGUGCCAAAGUGUGUGGCUAAGGAGGCUACACGGUGAUCUCAUGGAUCGAGAUCCGAAACAAGUGGUGCUCAAUGUUGAUAGUGAGUCUACAACUUUUCUACGUGAGGAUCCAGUGGGGCGUGAUAAGAGCAAGCACAUUGAUACGAUGUACCACUACAUAAAGGACUACGUGGAAGAAGGUAAGAUGGAGGUCAACUACGUUUGCACGGACGAUCAAAUGGCGGACAUCCUAACCAAGACUUUGGAUCGAGAGAAGUUCUUGGAGAUGACAAGAAGGAUCGGCGUCGGAGCUGUAAUGUAA
This 1992-nucleotide ribosomal RNA is filed under the name Triticum aestivum (bread wheat). Its description in RNAcentral is "partial small subunit ribosomal RNA". Lineage: Eukaryota; Viridiplantae; Streptophyta; Magnoliopsida; Poales; Poaceae. The record is from RNAcentral.